Long non-coding RNA from Anopheles coustani, 338 nucleotides. RefSeq lists it as uncharacterized. Lineage: Eukaryota; Metazoa; Arthropoda; Insecta; Diptera; Culicidae. The record is from RefSeq and is a predicted model, not a curated record. The transcript has 3 exons.
GGAUUGGUGACCGCAAAUGAAUGGCCGCCCGAAAUUGCUGAAAUUGUAUAAGAAUUCUGAUGGGCGAUCCUUAAGUGCAUGAAUCCAACAUAUUACAUCUGAUCUGCUUGUUACGAACCUUACUGACUGAAACAUUAAAAGUGUAAAAUCAUCUGCACAUAAUGGAUUGUAAGGUCGGAUUGUCUCAUCGUGAGUUGUGUGUGAUUUACCUGAUAUUUUCAUGCGCAAUCAUGCCGUAGACAUAACAGUGGUAAUGAAUAUCGCUGCUACACCAUAAAAGUACACAACGGAACAAUAAGCGUCACAAUUGCUGGAAUGUCAUGUUAGCAAACCCAUUU